CCCUUAGAUGUUCUGGGCCGCACGCGUGCUACACUGAGUGGAUCAGCGGGUCAGGUUGCGCGAAAGCGUUUCCUAAUCUUUAAAUCCGCUCGUGAUGGGGAUUGACGGUUGCAAUUUUCUGUCAUGAACGAGGAAUACCUUAUAAGCGCGGGUCAUCAUCCCGCGCUGAAUACGUCCCUGCCCUUUGUACACACCGCCCGUCGCUCCUACCGAUUGAGUGGUCCGGUGAGGCUUUGGGAUCUGAGCGGAAAGAGCGUUUCGCUGUUUCUGCUCGGAAAACUCAGUCGAACCUUAUCAUUUAGAGGAAGGAGAAGUCGUAACA
Molecule: ribosomal RNA, 322 nt
Filed under: uncultured eukaryote
Lineage: Eukaryota
Description: partial 18S ribosomal RNA
Rfam family: Eukaryotic small subunit ribosomal RNA
Source: RNAcentral